GGCUAAUACCGGAUAACACAUGAAACCGCAUGGUUUCAUGAUGAAAGACGGUUUUGCUGUCACUUAUAGAUGGACCCGCGGCGUAUUAGCUAGUUGGUAAGGUAACGGCUUACCAAGGCAACGAUACGUAGCCGACCUGAGAGGGUGAUCGGCCACACUGGAACUGAGACACGGUCCAG
RNAcentral lists this ribosomal RNA (179 nucleotides) under uncultured Staphylococcus sp. RNAcentral's name for it is "partial 16S ribosomal RNA". It matches the Rfam family "Bacterial small subunit ribosomal RNA", at positions 161 to 334 of the family's 1533-position model. The record is from RNAcentral. Lineage: Bacteria; Bacillati; Bacillota; Bacilli; Caryophanales; Staphylococcaceae.